RNAcentral lists this ribosomal RNA (253 nucleotides) under uncultured bacterium. RNAcentral describes it as "partial 16S ribosomal RNA". It matches the Rfam family "Bacterial small subunit ribosomal RNA", at positions 524 to 776 of the family's 1533-position model. The record is from RNAcentral.
UACAGAGGUGGCAAGCGUUGUUCGGAAUUACUGGGCGUAAAGGGCGCGUAGGCGGGAUGGCAAGUCGGUCGUGAAAUCCCUCGGCUCAACUGAGGAUCGUCGAUCGAUACUGCCGUUCUUGAGGAUUGCAGAGGAGACUGGAAUUCCCGGUGUAGCGGUGAAAUGUGUAGAGAUCGGGAGGAACACCGGUGGCGAAGGCGGGUCUCUGGGCAAUUCCUGACGCUGAGGCGCGAAAGCGUGGGGAGCAAACGGG